GGCAGUUAGGAGCCUCGUGCUCUUGGCUCACUUCAUAGCCAUCUAGUUCUGUGGCCUACCAGUUCUCAUCCUUUGAAUUCUUAGGUUAGACGAGAAGAUACAUGAGAUCUCUAAAUCUUCAGGUUUAAACGUAGAUGUCUUUCACUACACCAGAGUAAAUAGCUUAUUCAAUAUUCAUUUUAUGAUCGUUAUUGGACUUCGGCUUCCUACUGCCUUUCAAAUAGGCCAUCGCAAGAUUUUGUCCAGUAGUAACGCCAGCAUUCAUCCUUUAAUGUUCGUGCCCGUCUCCUUAGUGCUUGAUAGAAAGGAUGCACUUCUUAUGUUAGCAAUGCUUGUGGAGCCUUUGUGGUCAUUCUCAGACAUGCACAGAGUGGGGAAAAACAUUGAGUCACCUGGAAUCCACGUUCAGCUGAGGUUGAACCAGCAAUCCUGGAAUCAGGGCACUACGGGUAACCACAUUCUCACUUUACAAAUGAUAACUCACACACCCCAUGGAAGAUCCGGGAAGUCUUCUGAUGCCCCUGCUUUCCAAGACAAUAUGAUGCUUCUCUACAUUCCAUGGACUAUGACAACCCCUAUCUAAUCUGGCAGAAAAUCCUGUUGACUCUACCUUCAAAAUAUAGCCAGAGUUCAAUACUUCUUACCAUCUCCGUGUCUACCACCCUGGUCCAAGCUACCAUCAUCUCUCAUCUGGAUAACUCAAUUACCAACUAACAGGCCUGUCUGCUGGUACAGUCUGUGCUCAAAACAGCAGCCGGAAGGAUUCUUUUCCAAAGUAAGCCAGGUUGCAGCCCUCAUCUUGCUGAGAGUUUAAUCAAAGUCCUUAGCAGUGUCCUGUGAAGCCCACAUAUCCUGACCCCUCAGACUCCUUUGACCUAUUUUCUACUUCCCUCCCCCUCGCUCACUCGGCUCUAGCUACAUGGCUUUUAUCCUGUGACCCCUUUGCUGGAAUGCAAGCUUCACAAGGCAGGGAUCUUUGUCUGUCUGGUUCACUCAUGUAUCCCAAGUACAGUUAGUCCUCCGUAUCCAUGGUUCCACAUCCGUGGAGAUGGAACGGUGGACUGAAAAUAUUUGGAAAAAAAAAAUGCAUCUGAGAAGGAGGGCAAGGGUUGAAUAACUACCUAUUGGGUACCAUGUUUACUAUUUGAGCAAUGGGCUCAUUAGAAGCCCAAAUCUCAGCAUCACAGAAUAUACCCAUAUAACAAACCUGCACAUGUACCAUCUGAAUUUAAAUUAAAAAUAAAAUUUAAAAAUAAAAAAUUUAUAUUGCAUCUGUA
Molecule: long non-coding RNA, 1277 nt
Filed under: Homo sapiens (human)
Lineage: Eukaryota; Metazoa; Chordata; Mammalia; Primates; Hominidae
Description: novel transcript
Source: RNAcentral